GGGCAUGUAGCUCAGUGGUAGAGCUCUUGCUCAGCAUGCUGGAGGCCCUGGGUUUGGUUCCCAGCAGGGCAA
RNAcentral lists this transfer RNA (72 nucleotides) under Ictidomys tridecemlineatus (thirteen-lined ground squirrel). RNAcentral describes it as "Spermophilus tridecemlineatus (thirteen-lined ground squirrel) tRNA". It matches the Rfam family "tRNA". From Rfam's summary of the family: Transfer RNA (tRNA) molecules are approximately 80 nucleotides in length. Their secondary structure includes four short double-helical elements and three loops (D, anti-codon, and T loops). The record is from Rfam by way of RNAcentral. Lineage: Eukaryota; Metazoa; Chordata; Mammalia; Rodentia; Sciuridae.